AUCUACCACAAUGGACGAAAGUCUGAUGGAGCAACGCCGCGUGAGCGAAGAAGGCCUUCGGGUCGUAAAGCUCUGUCCUAAGGGAAGAAACGGACGGUACCUUAGGAGGAAGCCCCGGCUAACUACGUGCCAGCAGCCGCGGUAAUACGUAGGGGGCGAGCGUUAUCCGGAAUUACUGGGCGUAAAGGGUGCGUAGGCGGCCUUUUAAGUCAGAUGUGAAAGGCUACGGCUUAACCGUAGUUAGCAUUUGAAACUAAAAGGCUUGAGUGCAGGAGAGGAGAGUGGAAUUCCUAGUGUAGCGGUGAAAUGCGUAGAUAUUAGGAGGAACACCAGUGGCGAAGGCGACUACCUGGACGAAAACUGACGCUGAUGCACGAAAGCUAGGGGAGCAAA
Molecule: ribosomal RNA, 393 nt
Filed under: uncultured bacterium
Lineage: Bacteria
Description: partial 16S ribosomal RNA
Rfam family: Bacterial small subunit ribosomal RNA
Source: RNAcentral